GUCGCCUGUUUAUCAAAAACAUAGCCUGUAGUAAAGAUUAUAGGUAAGCCCUGCCCUAUGAACUUUAAAUGGCCGCAGUACUCUGACUGUGCUAAGGUAGCGUAAUCAGUUGGCUUUUAAAUGGAGUCGAGUAUGAAUGGGUCUACGGAAACAAACUGUCUCUUUUUGGUUAUAUUGAAGUUUCUUUAAGGGUGCAAAGUCCCUUGAUUAGAAAAAAGACGAGAAGACCCUUAGAGUUUUUAUUAAAGAUAAGAAUUUAUUUAAGUUUUUGCUGGGGCGGCAAAGAGACAAAGCAAUUAAACUCUCUUUUUAUUGUUUUUAGAAGACGAGAAUGUUAAGAAUCAUUAAACUACCUUAGGGAUAACAGCAUAAUUAAAUUUUAGUUUGUGACCUCGAUGUUGGACUAGGAAGGCUUUUGACCAGCAGUCAAAAAGUGUGGUUCUGUUCGAACUAAGUUUCCUACAUGAUCUGAGUUCAGACCGGA
Molecule: ribosomal RNA, 484 nt
Filed under: Scaphis sp. BD-2011
Lineage: Eukaryota; Metazoa; Mollusca; Gastropoda; Systellommatophora; Onchidiidae
Description: partial 16S ribosomal RNA
Rfam family: Archaeal large subunit ribosomal RNA
Source: RNAcentral